Molecule: ribosomal RNA, 292 nt
Filed under: uncultured bacterium
Lineage: Bacteria
Description: partial 16S ribosomal RNA
Rfam family: Bacterial small subunit ribosomal RNA
Source: RNAcentral
GUGCCAGCCGCCGCGGUAAUACAGAGGGUGCGAGCGUUAAUCGGAAUUACUGGGCGUAAAGGGCGCGUAGGUGGUUAAUUAAGUCAGAUGUGAAAUCCCCGGGCUUAACCUGGGAAUGGCAUAUGAAACUGAUUAGCUAGAGUUUGGGAGAGGGAAGUGGAAUUUCAGGUGUAGCGGUGAAAUGCGUAGAUAUCUGAAGGAACACCAGUGGCGAAGGCGACUUCCUGGCCCGAUACUGACACUGAGGCGCGAAAGCGUGGGGAGCAAACAGGAUUAGAUACCCUGGUAGUCC